ACAUAAACAUACCGAAAAGCAUUUUCACUGAGAUAAUUGGAGGUUAUCUCAAAGCAAACGUCAGUCAUGAGUCGAUUUGUUUGCAAACUAAUUUAUAAAAUUCAUAGUGAACUUCAUUAGUUCACAUAUUGAAUAUAUAAAAAAUGAUUGCUGUCGGAUACGUGUUAACCAUGACUAUGAAAGUAUUAAUAGUACAAUUUUGUACAUAUAUAUUACAAUGUAUUGAACUGCAAAAUUGUAGCACUGUAAUAUUAUAAAUAAGAUGCAUUCCGUUAUUAGGCUCGAUUAAUUAAAAUGGAACGUAUCGAACUGAAAUGAAAUUUUACAAGUCAAUAGACUCCGAACGAUUGCAUCAAAUUUUGUGAAAUCGUCCAUUCCAUAUGCGAAAAUUUGCUAUUUAAAUUCGGCGAGCAACUUGGGUAAAGAUAACAGUAAGAAAGUACGCAAGGAGAUCGAUUAAAAUGGACCAUCCUGUACAACUGUCGCAAUGCGUAGAAAAGAUGUACAUACAUUAUAGAAUGUCCCGUGGAACACGCGAUAAAAUCUAAAAUUGCGAAGAGAAAGAAAGAGAUCAGCGGAAAUCGACUUGGAACAAUACAGGGGAGCGCGAGAGAAGGAUAGAGAGGGAGGCCGCGGCUCGCCAUGUUCCGUCAACCCUUAGAUUUAGUGACUGUAAGUGCUGAUGUAGAAGUGUCACCCUCUCUAGCUCUCUCAAUGGCUUACCCGACGUAUCCCCCUAAAAAAUGACCCAGAGAGCGGCGACCGAUGAGAUUUAAAAGCUACAAAAACCCUAGGUGGUUCAGCUCCGCCCACGCGAAAUUUAUUUUGACUCUUUACUGCUCACACUCCACGUAACACAUGUACUGCAACGGCAAUUCAAGGGGAUUUCUUUAAUAAAAAAGCAAUCUCUACCAUG
This is a long non-coding RNA of Apis florea (little honeybee), 916 nucleotides long. RefSeq lists it as uncharacterized. The record is from RefSeq and is a predicted model, not a curated record. Lineage: Eukaryota; Metazoa; Arthropoda; Insecta; Hymenoptera; Apidae.